Molecule: ribosomal RNA, 585 nt
Filed under: Triticum aestivum (bread wheat)
Lineage: Eukaryota; Viridiplantae; Streptophyta; Magnoliopsida; Poales; Poaceae
Description: partial small subunit ribosomal RNA
Source: RNAcentral
AUGCAACCGCCUCCUAGAUGUACCGUCUCUGAUGGCACUGUUUGUCGCCUCUGCCCCUCACUUUAUGGGCUGAAACAAGCUCCUCGUGCCUGGUUUGAGCGUUUCUCCGCCGUCAUCACAGAUUUCUCUUCUAGUACUCAUGAUCCUACUCUGUUUAUUCACACUCAUGGUCGCACCCUUUUGCUCCUUUAUGUUAAUGACAUGGUUAUCACAGGGGAUGACCACCAAUUCAUUGAUUUUGUCAAGAAACGUCUUCAUGAGCAAUUCUUGAUGAGUAAUUUGGGUUCUCUUUGCUACUUUCUUGGACUUAAGAUCAUUUCUUCCCUUGAGGGCACUUAUCUCUCUCAAGAGAAGUACAUCCAAGGUGUUCUCACUCGUGCUUGCCUCACUGAUCAGCGCACGGUUGACACCCCUAUGGAUUUUGUUCUUCAUCUUUGUCCUGGUGAGGGUGAACCACUUGCGGAUCCCACUUGCUACUAUCAUCUUGUUGGGAGCCUUGUCUAUCAAGGCAUCACUCGUUUUGACAUUUCUUAUGUUGUGCAGAUUCUGAGUCAGUCUGUCUCUGCUCCCACUCAACCUCACUAG